UGGGGAAUUUUGGACAAUGGGCGAAAGCCUGAUCCAGCAAUGCCGCGUGUGUGAAGAAGGCCUUCGGGUUGUAAAGCACUUUUGUCCGGAAAGAAAUCCUUGGCUCUAAUACAGUCGGGGGAUGACGGUACCGGAAGAAUAAGCACCGGCUAACUACGUGCCAGCAGCCGCGGUAAUACGUAGGGUGCGAGCGUUAAUCGGAAUUACUGGGCGUAAAGCGUGCGCAGGCGGUUUGCUAAGACCGAUGUGAAAUCCCCGGGCUCAACCUGGGAACUGCAUUGGUGACUGGCAGGCUAGAGUAUGGCAGAGGGGGGUAGAAUUCCACGUGUAGCAGUGAAAUGCGUAGAGAUGUGGAGGAAUACCGAUGGCGAAGGCAGCCCCCUGGGCCAAUACUGACGCUCAUGCACGAAAGCGUGGGGAGCAAACAGGAUUAGAUACCCUGGUAGUCCACGCCCUAAACGAUGUCAACUAGUUGUUGGGGAUUCAUUUCCUUAGUAACGUAGCUAACGCGUGAAGUUGACCGCCUGGGGAGUACGGUCGCAAGAUUAAAACUCAAAGGAAUUGACGGGGUCAUAGCUGUUUCCU
Molecule: ribosomal RNA, 585 nt
Filed under: uncultured bacterium
Lineage: Bacteria
Description: partial 16S ribosomal RNA
Rfam family: Bacterial small subunit ribosomal RNA
Source: RNAcentral